RNAcentral lists this ribosomal RNA (1343 nucleotides) under uncultured bacterium. Its description in RNAcentral is "16S ribosomal RNA". It matches the Rfam family "Bacterial small subunit ribosomal RNA", at positions 28 to 1378 of the family's 1533-position model. The record is from RNAcentral.
GACGAACGCUGGCGGCGUGCUUAACACAUGCAAGUCGAACGGAAAGGCCCUGCUUUUGUGGGGUGCUCGAGUGGCGAACGGGUGAGUAACACGUGAGUAACCUGCCCUUGACUUUGGGAUAACUUCAGGAAACUGGGGCUAAUACCGGAUAGGAGCUCCUGCUGCAUGGUGGGGGUUGGAAAGUUUCGGCGGUUGGGGAUGGACUCGCGGCUUAUCAGCUUGUUGGUGGGGUAGUGGCUUACCAAGGCUUUGACGGGUAGCCGGCCUGAGAGGGUGACCGGCCACAUUGGGACUGAGAUACGGCCCAGACCCCUACGGGAGGCAGCAGUGGGGAAUAUUGCACAAUGGGCGGAAGCCUGAUGCAGCAACGCCGCGUGCGGGAUGACGGCCUUCGGGUUGUAAACCGCUUUCGCCUGUGACGAAGCGUGAGUGACGGUAAUGGGUAAAGAAGCACCGGCUAACUACGUGCCAGCAGCCGCGGUGAUACGUAGGGUGCGAGCGUUGUCCGGAUUUAUUGGGCGUAAAGGGCUCGUAGGUGGUUGAUCGCGUCGGAAGUGUAAUCUUGGGGCUUAACCCUGAGCGUGCUUUCGAUACGGGUUGACUUGAGGAAGGUAGGGGAGAAUGGAAUUCCUGGUGGAGCGGUGGAAUGCGCAGAUAUCAGGAGGAACACCAGUGGCGAAGGCGGUUCUCUGGGCCUUUCCUGACGCUGAGGAGCGAAAGCGUGGGGAGCGAACAGGCUUAGAUACCCUGGUAGUCCACGCUGUAAACGGUGGGUACUAGGUGUGGGGUCCAUUCCACGGGUUCCGUGCCGUAGCUAACGCUUUAAGUACCCCGCCUGGGGAGUACGGCCGCAAGGCUAAAACUCAAAGGAAUUGACGGGGCCCCGCACAAGCGGCGGAGCAUGCGGAUUAAUUCGAUGCAACGCGUAGAACCUUACCUGGGUUUGACAUGGAUCGGGAGCGCUCAGAGAUGGGUGUGCCUCUUUUGGGGUCGGUUCACAGGUGGUGCAUGGCUGUCGUCAGCUCGUGUCGUGAGAUGUUGGGUUAAGUCCCGCAACGAGCGCAACCCUUGUUCACUGUUGCCAGCACGUUAUGGUGGGGACUCAGUGGAGACCGCCGGGGUCAACUCGGAGGAAGGUGGGGAUGACGUCAAGUCAUCAUGCCCCUUAUGUCCAGGGCUUCACGCAUGCUACAAUGGCUGGUACAGAGAGUGGCGAGCCUGUGAGGGUGAGCGAAUCUCGGAAAGCCGGUCUCAGUUCGGAUUGGGGUCUGCAACUCGACCUCAUGAAGUCGGAGUCGCUAGUAAUCGCAGAUCAGCAACGCUGCGGUGAAUACGUUCCCGGG